RNAcentral lists this ribozyme (73 nucleotides) under unclassified sequences. RNAcentral describes it as "pistol ribozyme". It matches the Rfam family "Pistol ribozyme". RNAcentral also lists the same sequence under 1 other name. The record is from RNAcentral.
ACUCGUCUGAGCGAGUAUAAAUAGGCUUUUGGCUCAGAGCGAUUCCUGGAGCGCUGUUUCCAGGGAUGUAGCA